UGUUUUUGUAUGUAUGUGUGUGUGUGUGUGUGUAUAUAUAUAUACACACACACACACACAUACAUACAUACACACA
This is a non-coding RNA of Pelobates cultripes (western spadefoot toad), 76 nucleotides long. The record is from the annotation of a GenBank genome assembly. NCBI's taxonomy places the organism in Eukaryota, Metazoa, Chordata, Amphibia, Anura, Pelobatidae.